AUGUCCCAUUAUCCUUUCGAUCAUAGUUUUCACCCUGGGAUGAGCAGAUGUCUUCUGAGGCUAGCCACUGAUUUCAGGAUGGACAAUAGGAUAGUUCCAUGGGACGAACUCACCGGUAGUGCCACCAUAAUGAAUGAGUUGGCCCACGAAUUACAUAGGUCUGGCUGGCCUGAAAGGACUUAUGAGGAGGUACGUACUGAACUUCUUAGGUUGCAUGAAAGGUUGAAAAAGGUAGUGGAGCCGAAGAGUGAAACUUUCAGAAUGAUUGCAACAAAGCAUCCAUUUUUAUGGACUGAAGAAAGCGAGGACAACGAUGAUAUCUUCAUGUUGCCACUUCCGGGUUCUGCAUCCUCGAAGGCAAGAAUUCUGCAUCAUCCAAGGGAAAGAGUUCCGCGUCCUUGA
This 402-nucleotide ribosomal RNA is filed under the name Triticum aestivum (bread wheat). RNAcentral describes it as "partial small subunit ribosomal RNA". The record is from RNAcentral. Lineage: Eukaryota; Viridiplantae; Streptophyta; Magnoliopsida; Poales; Poaceae.